UAUGUGAUCGUCUCUCGCAUAUCAAUAAGCGGAGGAAAAGAAACUAACAAGGAUUCCCCUAGUAACGGCGAGUGAAGCGGGAAGAGCUCAAAUUUGAAAUCUUAAAGGGUUUCCCUUUACGAAUUGUAGUUUAAAGAAGUGUUUUCUGUUGAGGUUUUGGUAAAAGUUCUUUGGAAUAGGACAUCAUAGAGGGUGAGAAUCCCGUAUUUGACCUUUACUUUCAACUUUGUGAUACACUUUCAAAGAGUCGGAUUGUUUGGGAAUGCAGUCCAAAAUGGGUGGUAAAUUUCAUCUAAAGCUAAAUAUUGGCGAGAGACCGAUAGCGAACAAGUACCGUGAGGGAAGAUGAAAAGAACUUUGAAAAGAGAGUUAAACAGUACGUGAAAUUGUCAAAAGGGAAGCGUUUGACACCAGUGUUGUUUUUCUGAAAAUCAAUUAAAGAACUGUUUAUGCUAAGCUGUUUAGACUUUAUCAGCUAACUGUUUAGUUUUGAGCUUUUCUUUAAUGCACUUUUCAGUUAACAAGUCAACAUCAAUUUCUUUUGCUGUAAAAAAGCUUGAGGAAGGUGGCUUGAGAUUCGUCUUAAGUGUUUAUAGCCUCUUGCCUAUGCAGUCGGAGAGAUUGAGGUCUGCAGCGUAGAUCCUUCGGGGCUAAAUGCAUUUGUGCUAAGUUAUAGCAUUUUAUAGACAACUUGUUGACUAUGAUUUGUCUUGUAGCUUACUCGCUUAUGUUAUUUUACCUACGCUUAGGAUGUUGAUAUCGCGCUCUCACUG
Molecule: ribosomal RNA, 773 nt
Filed under: uncultured Neocallimastigales
Lineage: Eukaryota; Fungi; Neocallimastigomycota; Neocallimastigomycetes; Neocallimastigales
Description: partial large subunit ribosomal RNA
Rfam family: Eukaryotic large subunit ribosomal RNA
Source: RNAcentral